Long non-coding RNA from Xenia sp. Carnegie-2017, 695 nucleotides. RefSeq lists it as uncharacterized. The record is from RefSeq and is a predicted model, not a curated record. The transcript is spliced from 3 exons. NCBI's taxonomy places the organism in Eukaryota, Metazoa, Cnidaria, Anthozoa, Malacalcyonacea, Xeniidae.
CUGAGCUAUGAAGUCACACAGUGGUGAGCAGAAAUAAACACUUGGCCCUGAAGGUGCGAAAUUUAACCAAAAAACAGACACAUAAGUUGUCUCGAGAUAUGAUUAGCCAAAAUAACUCAGUUGGGAGAGUGUCAGACUGAAGAUCUGAAGGUCCCUGGUUCAACCCAUGAUUUCUGCGUUGGUGCAAGAUUAGCAUUUUUUUCUUUACUUCUUUAGAAUUGUGACCAGGGAUAUACCGGGCGGAAAGCGAAGUUUAAAUUUAAAUAUCAAAGCCCAGCAAAUUGCUUUUAAAAGAGCCAUUUAAUGCAUAAAAAGAAAUAUUUAUUUAAAAGUGUAAGGUUUCGUCUUGACUCUCAAGACGUCAUCAAACAAUAUUGAAUUAUAAUAGCUAUUUACAUAAUAUUAAAUUACAUGGUGGGAUGAAAACGUGUUAGUAAAUAUUGGAUAAGAUGGUAUGACGUGGGAUAAGUAGAAACACGAAAGAAACAAAAUAACAAACAAAACACAAACAAUCAUAAAGUAUACAGACGUGAGGACGGACGAAAUUAGAUUAAAGCAACUGAAGGACAAUGGAGUUUCCUUGGACGUUAAGAGAUGAUUUCAUUUUGUUGAUUAAGAGGCUUUCGUGAAUAAGAAGUUCUUGUGAGUCUGAGAUGAAGAAUGUAUUUUAAAUCCUCGAAGGUGGCGGUGUGUCC